Long non-coding RNA from Cygnus olor (mute swan), 5634 nucleotides. RefSeq lists it as uncharacterized. NCBI's taxonomy places the organism in Eukaryota, Metazoa, Chordata, Aves, Anseriformes, Anatidae. The record is from RefSeq and is a predicted model, not a curated record. The transcript is spliced from 2 exons.
ACAGAGCAAAAAAAAAGGUGUGAACACGUGGUGCCCAUACCCAGCCGACGACAUCCGAUAACAUCCGAUGGGGACAGGGGGUGGAAGCAGGGCGCGGCAUGAGAUUGACAGCCAGGUCAGCUCUAAGGGAACAGAAAUUUCCCUGUGAGGCAUCCACACAGGGUGGGAUGGGGUGGCUGUACUGCCCUCGUUGGGCUGCACAGAAAAAACCUGCAUCAUUUAAAAUAUGCAGCCAAUUCCAGGCAGCAAGGCCAAAACAAUGGCUUGUAAUUUCUUAAUCCAUACAGCAUUGUAAAGCUGCAUUUUCCCACCACAUAACAUACUGAAAUCUGAUCUUCCUCUCUUUAAAAUACAAGCUCUUGCCAGAGAAAAGUGCUUUAAGGGCCAUAUGUCCCGUCUGCAGAGUCAGUACUAACCAAGUUGGAAAUAAAGAGGCUUUGAUUUUCUAGCAGAGGACAAAUAUGAAACAGGGCUGAAGAAGGUCAAUAACAAUAUCUAAUUUACACAGUGUCUAAUUUAUACAAAACAGUUGGCCUCCGGAUGGCAGCAGUUAAAGGAGGAAGAAAUAAAGAAACCCACCUUAAACAUACGACAAUUAAAGAAAGAAUCAUUCUUUCUGAUUAAACCUUGAAAAAGGAGUUGCUUUACUGGGAUACAACACAGCAGGGAGCAUCCUUCUGAAGCUGCAGAGCUACCCAGAAGUUUUAAAAUCCCCAGGCGAUGUGGGAUGAGAAUGGAUUGGAGAGUUGCAGAUUCAUCCCCAAACUUCUGUGGAACAAUUCCUAACGCCAAGUUGUUAGGGAUGAUCAUCCCAAAUCGACAGACCUGUAACUCUCCAAGUCCUCCUCCAAGACAGGCAGCAGCAUCUCUUUGUGCAGGUGAAGAAACUGAGGCACAGAGAGAUGAAGGCUUCCACCUGGCCUGCAUCUGGAGAUAAACUGGCAUGCCUUGCAUCUGCUCAAUGCCCAGCAAACGUGCUGAAGCUUCCCGCUGCUUUUGAGAUCCCCUGGCACCAGCCCCGAGCCCAUGGCUGGUCUGACCGCAGCAGAGUACCCGACACAGGCGAUCCCUUGCCGUGCAGGGGUUUGUGCCUUCCUGCCCCUUAGAGGCAAGCAUCUUGUGCCUGUUUCCGUGCAAUAUCGCAAGGCAAAGGCUGGCUAAGCAGCACCAGGACUCGUCACGGUCAGUACGCAGACACAUGGCUCGGCCUGGCUGUGCAACGGAAGCUGCGCGUCGCAGUGAAUUGACUGAAUCGCUGUAAAACGCAGCCAGGACCUCGCUCCGUCACUGAACCCGGUGCAGAAGCUGAGGGCCUGGCUCCAGAAGCACGGCAAGGGGUGGCAACGUCGCCACCCCGCUCCUCUGGCUGCCCAGGUGUCCCCGUGGGUCCAGCACCCAGCGGGGAGCUGCACACUCCUGGGCCCGUCUUAACCAAGGUAUGAGCCUGGCUUUGAGGAGGUAAGGAGGAUUUUGGUGAUACGCAGCCUGCAGCCCUCCAUUCUCCUACCUUUCUCCCAAACUUAACAGUACAUUUCAUGUUCUAAUGAUUAAUAAAUCAUAGCUCCACCACCAGGAAAGACCUGUGGGAAAGUUUUUAAAACACAGUGAAAGAAUAUUUUUUCUCCCCAUCCCUUCUGGAGACGUCCCAGGGACACUGGUGUACAAAGACGGACUAAAUCCCUGCUGCUCAGACAGGGGCUUUCCCCAGAGCUGUACUGGGACGCAUAUUUUCCCUACAGGCACAGAUCCUGGGCUAGUGGUGCUACUCCAGAAGCCUCCAAGUCAAGCCCUGCCAACCAUCGCAGUCCUCCCACAGAAUUCCUGCAACCACCAUGGGAGCUUUCCCUGUGGGGAAGGGAAGAAACGCAGGGCACAAGCCGAAAAUACAGACGGUUUGUUUUUCUCUUUGAACUGGAGCAGCACUGCCCUACCUCAAGUGGUCUGAGUAUUCCCCUGGGUCAUAAAAUUAUGGUUGCUUAGUAUCAGAUGAAGUUUUGAAAGCGGAAGAUAUUAUAGUCUAUACUUGUCUCUUUUACGAGUUUAUGAAAAUUGUGAAAAUCGGCCUCUUCAAAGCUGCAGAAGAUCCUCCAACCUGUUGCCAUUAUCUAUCCUAGUAUUCCAUUUUUAAAGCACAUAGUUUAAGGAAAAUCUUUUCAGGCUUGAAAAAAAAAAAAAAAAAAAAAGCCUUUUUUCAGUGUCUUUCUCAUUUCUUGAAUGAUGAGAUGAAGCCCCACGGCUUGGCAAGUGAAACUAUGUAGGUGCAUCUGAGCUUCUGCUGGUUUAGGGGGCAGCAAAGGCUCCUCGGUCAGCCCUGUGCUCUGGUGGGUCCUUCUCCCGCCAGCCGGAAACAUCCCCAUUACGCUUCCAAGCCUGCUCUCCAACUCACAGCAGCAACCGAAGGGAAAAUACAACCCCUAAGGCAGGUGAGCAGCGGGAAAAUACAACCCCGGAGGCAGGUGAGCAGCAGGAAAAUCCAUCCCCCAAGGCAGUGAGAGUCAGAAAGGCUCCUGACAUCCAACAGCUGGGAAGCACCUCGCUGCAUCUUUCAGGGAUGGACGGAUCCUCUGUGGACACUGCCAGGACCAGAAGCCACCUCCGAGAGGCUGGCUCUCUUCCCCAGGAGAAGUCAGCAUUGGGCCCAGACCUCCUUUUUGCACAGGGCUCUUGUUGCUCAUGGAAGCCUCUGGUUUUGGAAAAAGAUAUUGUUCAAGGUGUGCUGACACCCCUGUGACCACCUCAGACUGGGCUCUUUGGUACUAAUAGCUGCUCAUUAACACCAAAGGCUAAUUACUACCAAUUUUUUAAUUAGAUAUUCAACGCCGCGUUGCACAAGGGGCUGGUCAGGUUGUUGCGCAGAAGACAGGCAGGUUCUGUGCACCACAAACAUGGAGCUGAGCAAAGGCAGAGGCUCCUUGCAUGAGCAACAGCCCCUGGCCAGGGAAGCGUUUCCAUUGUGGGCAAGGUUUUCAGCACACUUGGAGCUCUGCACAUGCUCCUGUGCUGCGUCAGAAGUGCAGGGAGAGCUCAGCACCACCGUGUGUGUCAUCAAGGUCACCUUUUGAAAGGGGAGGAUGCCACGCCACAGAUUUCUCCUGCAAAGGGCUCCCCAGAAGGGCCAUCCCAUGUGCGCCUGCUUGCCAAGAACCGUAAAUCAUCCCCAGCAGAAUUAAGACUGGCAUCAGAGCAUCAGCCAGGCCUUACCGUAACGCACCGCCGUCAUCUGUGCCUUCCUGAGCCGGAGCCACCCCGAGACGCUCCUGGAACGCUCCCAGGUGCGUGGCUGCCAAGGACUGUGUGCUGGUUACCAAAAGAGCUGUGUGUGGAUUCCCAGGAACAAUCCCUUCCUGUAAGCACAGUGAUGUACCUGUCCGUGUGGCGUGCCAGCCCUUCCUCUGCAUGAGCCCUGUGUGCUCAGGCUCCCCCUCGCUCCCCGCAUCUCUGCUCAGGGUUCGAGGGAAGCUGUUCAGAGAGAGGAAGAAAGUGAGAGAGACAGGGAGCAGAGGCCAACUCUUGUACACGUUGGUGUCCCUCGCACAGGCAUCAAACCAGGACCAGGGGACAAUCUGCCACAUCCCGCAGCACCGUGGUAUGGGGUGCCACCAGGACCCCAGGGUGCUUGAGCCCAUCAGGGACGUGGCUGUGCCUUGCUGCUGCUGUGACAACAUUGAAGACAGAGGCAGGAGAAAACCCAGAGCCUCUCUUUUGCUAAGCCAGCUUGGUAAAGGGCUCCCUUAUCUUCACUUUGGUGUGAGAUAAGGUUUCAAUGCUGCCAGAGCAGCUUUGUAUCUCGCAGAUACCUCCCUGUGCUGCAGUGGGUGUCAGGCGUUCACAAAAUAUUUGAGUAAGACCGUAUCUUUUUGAAACCCAUGUGCAAUGGAAAGACACACAGGGUGGAUCAGAUCGACGCUGCGUGGUUUUCGGUGUCUUGUUGUUCGUGUGAGGACAAAACGGGUUUCCUCAGCUGGUAGGACCGGGCUGGAAGGGCCUCUCACUGCAGGUCCCUAUACAGCACUGCUGCAGAGGGAACGGGGACACAAGUGUCCUGGCUCCCUGCUGGGCUGGGAAAGCUGGGCACUCUCCCCCUUGCUUCAAAGCCUUGGUGAUACGUGACCAUUUGAGAGCUGAUCCAGAUAAAUGUUUGUUUUAAUGAACCAGUGAGAGCUGUAUCCUAUUGCAACAAGCCACUUUCCUUAACACCCCUGACAUACGUGCAUAUAUGAAUAGCAAUAAUAAUAGCAAAAUAAUUUGUGUCUCUCCAGGAUGAUUUACUGAGCCGGGAGCUUGCUCUUCCCUUGGUGCUGUGCUGUUCCCUACAAGGGACCUGACUAUAUAGGUCUGGAAUACCUUCAGAGGCAAUUUAUUUCUAUGAAAUCCUCAUGUAACAUCACAAGGAAUGACUGGGAGGAAAAGGCUUGUCGUGAGAGUAGAGGACAAGGAAUAAAAGCCAUCCCUUUGCAGGUCUGACCAAAGAGCCAUGUGCUGCACCAGAGGCAUCAGUCGCGUGUGAUUUGGGUGGUGCAGGGGCAGGACCCUCCCAAUGCCCAAAACCCUCACCCCGGUUCACACAUCGCUAGCUUCAGCAGUCACCAAAAGGGGAAACGUUGCCCUCUCACCACAGCAAAGCUAUUUCCAUGUCACAAAUUGGUGCUAGAUCCUGCAAGGCGCCUUCUGGGCUGCUCCAUCCUCCACCAAAGUCCUGAGGGCCACGAGCCCUCCUCCCUGCCCGCAGCAACACUGCCUUUCCCAGCAACUUUCCCCGAUCUUUCCGGACAACAAUAAUUGAAAUAUUAAAACUACCUAAUUGUAGAACAAAACCCUUGCAACUGAUUAAAUUUUUCUAUGUUAAAAAUACCUGGUGUAUUGAAAAUCACACUCUAAAGGCCAGUUCUGAUCUCAUUCGUGUGGGACUAAGGCCAGACGAGGUCUCCACGGAGAAGUCCUGAAGAAUGGCCAGGCCUUAAACCAACGGUGGUCUGCAGAAAUUAUAAAGACAAAUACCAUGCAUCCCUAUAGAACUCGAUGUCUCUUUUUAAUAAAAUUAAUAAAAUGUGCAAUAGAUAGCUGUCUCCCUAUUAGUGGAUCUAAUACCUUGGCUUGAAAGUCCUCCCCAGGAAACAUAUAUGUCUUUUUGCUGACUUCACUGGAUUUCAGCAACAUAAUAGAGAAGUGGAAUUCAGCCUAAAAGCCAGACAGUGAAUGCAGAAGUCAAGACUUAGGAAAAAGAUAUAAAAAAAGAACUGUUGAUAUGUCUUUUCUCUGACACGUCCCAUCCUAUCGAAAUGGCCACUGCCUUUAUUUUGUUUAAUCACUUAUCUCCACGGAGGGAAGAGGAAAUUCCCAAGAACGCAUGAUCGUUAAAAAUAUUAGCCAGGCCUGGUGAUUAUUUUUGGUAGCUAAAAACUUCCUGGCCGAAGGGUUUGGGUUUGCAUUGGACUUCAGUAGAUGUUUUAGUAUAACUUUCAUAAAUACCCAUUAUACUCAAAUCGCUGUGCAGUUUACAAUUCAGCUGGGAAGGGCGGGUGUAUGUUUCUCUUUCUUUGUUUUGUAAUGCAGCAUGGUAAAGUGCACAGCGCUCCACUGAAUUAGGGUUUAGCUAUUUUCUUGUAUCCUUAAAUAAAGGACUAGUUCACACAG